GUGGGGAAUCUUCCGCAAUGGACGAAAGUCUGACGGAGCAACGCCGCGUGAGUGAUGAAGGUCUUCGGAUUGUAAAGCUCUGUUAAUCGGGACGAAAGAGCCUAGUGUGAAUAAUGCUAGGAAGUGACGGUACCGGAAUAGAAAGCCACGGCUAACUACGUGCCAGCAGCCGCGGUAAUACGUAGGUGGCAAGCGUUGUCCGGAAUUAUUGGGCGUAAAGCGCGCGCAGGCGGAUCUGCCAGUCUGUCUUAAAAGUUCGGGGCUUAACCGCGUGAUGGGAUGGAAACUACAGAUCUAGAGUAUCGGAGAGGAAAGUGGAAUUCCUAGUGUAGCGGUGAAAUGCGUAGAUAUUAGGAAGAACACCAGUGGCGAAGGCGACUUUCUGGACGAAAACUGACGCUGAGGCGCGAAAGCCAGGGGAGCGAACGGGAUUAGAUACCCGAGUAGUCC
RNAcentral lists this ribosomal RNA (450 nucleotides) under uncultured bacterium. RNAcentral describes it as "partial 16S ribosomal RNA". It matches the Rfam family "Bacterial small subunit ribosomal RNA", at positions 354 to 796 of the family's 1533-position model. The record is from RNAcentral.